UUUUUAGUAUAAGUAUGUCCCAUGAUUAGUUUGGAAUAUACUUAUGCUAAAA
Non-coding RNA from Ictidomys tridecemlineatus (thirteen-lined ground squirrel), 52 nucleotides. The record is from Rfam. NCBI's taxonomy places the organism in Eukaryota, Metazoa, Chordata, Mammalia, Rodentia, Sciuridae.